GGACCUUGUAGUCCCCAGGAUUGGCUGGGGAGCAUCCACCUCCGGACCUUAAUCCGGAGCCGCCAGGGGAG
Molecule: non-coding RNA, 71 nt
Filed under: unclassified sequences
Description: 72-dG-II sequence
Rfam family: 2dG-II purine riboswitch aptamer
About the family: Purine riboswitch variant that recognize 2'-deoxyguanosine
Source: Rfam by way of RNAcentral